GCCGGGGUAGGAUAGCCCGGAAGUCCGUCGGCCUCGAGAGCCGAUGACCUAUACAGGUCGCGUGGGUUCAAAUCCCACUCCCGGCG
RNAcentral lists this transfer RNA (86 nucleotides) under Nitrososphaerota archaeon. Its description in RNAcentral is "Thaumarchaeota archaeon tRNA-Ser". It matches the Rfam family "tRNA". Rfam says of the family: Transfer RNA (tRNA) molecules are approximately 80 nucleotides in length. Their secondary structure includes four short double-helical elements and three loops (D, anti-codon, and T loops). Further hydrogen bonds mediate the characteristic L-shaped molecular structure. tRNAs have two regions of fundamental functional importance: the anti-codon, which is responsible for specific mRNA codon recognition, and the 3' end, to which the tRNAs corresponding amino acid is attached (by aminoacyl-tRNA synthetases). tRNAs cope with the degeneracy of the genetic code in two manners: having more than one tRNA (with a specific anti-codon) for a particular amino acid; and 'wobble' base-pairing, i.e. permitting non-standard base-pairing at the 3rd anti-codon position. RNAcentral also lists the same sequence under 1 other name. The record is from RNAcentral. Lineage: Archaea; Thermoproteati; Nitrososphaerota.